This 448-nucleotide ribosomal RNA is filed under the name uncultured bacterium. Its description in RNAcentral is "bacterial SSU rRNA". It matches the Rfam family "Bacterial small subunit ribosomal RNA", at positions 329 to 792 of the family's 1533-position model. The record is from RNAcentral.
CUCCAGACUCCUACGGGAGGCAGCAGUGGGGAAUAUUGGGCAAUGGGCGCAAGCCUGACCCAGCAACGCCGCGUGAAGGAAGAAGGCUUUCGGGUUGUAAACUUCUUUUGUCAGGGACGAAGCAAGUGACGGUACCUGACGAAUAAGCCACGGCUAACUACGUGCCAGCAGCCGCGGUAAUACGUAGGUGGCAAGCGUUAUCCGGAUUUAUUGGGUUUAAAGGGUGCGCAGGCGGAAGAUCAAGUCAGCGGUAAAAUGGAGAGGCUCAACCUCUUCGAGCCGUUGAAACUGGUUUUCUUGAGUGAGCGAGAAGUAUGCGGAAUGCGUGGUGUAGCGGUGAAAUGCAUAGAUAUCACGCAGAACUCCGAUUGCGAAGGCAGCAUACCGGCGCUCAACUGACGCUCAUGCACGAAAGUGUGGGUAUCGAACAGGAUUAGAUACCCGAGUA